Molecule: small nuclear RNA, 107 nt
Organism: Rattus norvegicus (Norway rat)
Lineage: Eukaryota; Metazoa; Chordata; Mammalia; Rodentia; Muridae
Source: Ensembl
GUGCUCGCUUCGGCAGCACAUAUACUACAAUUAGAAUGAUUCAGAGAAGAUCAGCACGGAUCCUGCACAAGGAUGGCACGCAAAUUUGUGAAGCGCUCUAUAUUUUU